This 460-nucleotide ribosomal RNA is filed under the name uncultured bacterium. RNAcentral's name for it is "partial 16S ribosomal RNA". It matches the Rfam family "Bacterial small subunit ribosomal RNA", at positions 338 to 795 of the family's 1533-position model. The record is from RNAcentral.
CCUACGUGAGGCAGCAGUGAGGAAUAUUGGUCAAUGGGCGGGAGCCUGACCCAGCCACGCCGCGUGAGGGAAGAAGGUACAGGGUAUCGUAAACCUCUUUUGUCAGGGAACAAAAGCGGGGACUAGUCACCGGAUGAGCGUACCUGAAGAACAAGCAUCGGCUAACUACUGGCCAGAAGCCGCGGUAAUACGGAGGAUGCGCGCGUUAUCCGGAUUUAUUGGGUUGAAAGGCGUCGUAGGCGGCUUUUUAAGUCAGUCGUGAAAGUCGGUGGCUCAACCAUAGAAUUGCCUGUGAAACUGGGGGACUUGAGUGUGUUUGAGGCAGGCGGAAUGCGUGGUGUAGCGGUGAAAUGCUUAGAUAGCACGAGGAACCCCGGUGGCGAAGGCAGCUUGCCAAGCCAUGACUGACGCUGAUGCACGAAAGCGUGGGGAUCAAACAGGAUUAGAUACCCUAGUAGUC